GACGAACGCUGGCGGCGUGCUUAACACAUGCAAGUCGAACGGAAAGGCCCUGCUUUUGUGGGGUGCUCGAGUGGCGAACGGGUGAGUAACACGUGAGUAACCUGCCCUUGACUUUGGGAUAACUUCAGGAAACUGGGGCUAAUACCGGAUAGGAGCUCCUGCUGCAUGGUGGGGGUUGGAAAGUUUCGGCGGUUGGGGAUGGACUCGCGGCUUAUCAGCUUGUUGGUGGGGUAGUGGCUUACCAAGGCUUUGACGGGUAGCCGGCCUGGGAGGGUGACCGGCCACAUUGGGACUGAGAUACGGCCCAGACUCCUACGGGAGGCAGCAGUGGGGAAUAUUGCACAACGGGCGGAAGCCUGAUGCAGCAACGCCGCGUGCGGGAUGACGGCCUUCGGGUUGUAAACCGCUUUCGCCUGUGACGAAGCGUGAGUGACGGUAAUGGGUAAAGAAGCACCGGCUAACUACGUG
Molecule: ribosomal RNA, 468 nt
Filed under: uncultured bacterium
Lineage: Bacteria
Description: partial 16S ribosomal RNA
Rfam family: Bacterial small subunit ribosomal RNA
Source: RNAcentral